ACUAAGCGUACACGGUGGAUGCCCUGGCAGUCAGAGGCGAUGAAGGACGUGCUAAUCUGCGAAAAGCGUCGGUAAGGUGAUAUGAACCGUUAUAACCGGCGAUGUCCGAAUGGGGAAACCCAGUGCAAUUCGUUGCACUAUCGUUAACUGAAUACAUAGGUUAACGAGGCGAACCGGGGGAACUGAAACAUCUAAGUACCCCGAGGAAAAGAAAUCAACCGAGAUUCCCCCAGUAGCGGCGAGCGAACGGGGAGCAGCCCAGAGUCUGAAUCAGCUUGUGUGUUAGUGGAACGGUCUGGAAAGUCCGACGGUACAGGGUGAUAGUCCCGUACACCAAAAUGCACAGGCUGUGAACUCGAAGAGUAGGGCGGGACACGUGGUAUCCUGUCUGAAUAUGGGGGGACCAUCCUCCAAGGCUAAAUACUCCUGACUGACCGAUAGUGAACCAGUACCGUGAGGGAAAGGCGAAAAGAACCCCGGCGAGGGGAGUGAAAAAGAACCUGAAACCGUGUACGUACAAGCAGUGGGAGCACCUUCGGGUGUGACUGCGUACCUUUUGUAUAAUGGGUCAGCGACUUAUAUUCUGUAGCAAGGUUAACCGUAUAGGGGAGCCGCAGGGAAACCGAGUCUUAACUGGGCGUUAAGUUGCAGGGUAUAGACCCGAAACCCGGUGAUCUAGCCAUGGGCAGGUUGAAGGUUGGGUAACACUAACUGGAGGACCGAACCGACUAAUGUUGAAAAAUUAGCGGAUGACUUGUGGCUGGGGGUGAAAGGCCAAUCAAACCGGGAGAUAGCUGGUUCUCCCCGAAAGCUAUUUAGGUAGCGCCUCGUGAAUUCAUCUUCGGGGGUAGAGCACUGUUUCGGCUAGGGGGUCAUCCCGACUUACCAACCCGAUGCAAACUACGAAUACCGAAGAAUGUUAUCACGGGAGACACACGGCGGGUGCUAACGUCCGUCGUGAAGAGGGAAACAACCCAGACCGCCAGCUAAGGUCCCAAAGUCAUGGUUAAGUGGGAAACGAUGUGGGAAGGCACAGACAGCCAGGAUGUUGGCUUAGAAGCAGCCAUCAUUUAAAGAAAGCGUAAUAGCUCACUGGUCGAGUCGGCCUGCGCGGAAGAUGUAACGGGGCUAAACCAUGCACCGAAGCUGCGGCAGCGACACUAUGUGUUGUUGGGUAGGGGAGCGUUCUGUAAGCCUGCGAAGGUGACCUGUGAGGGUUGCUGGAGGUAUCAGAAGUGCGAAUGCUGACAUAAGUAACGAUAAAGCGGGUGAAAAGCCCGCUCGCCGGAAGACCAAGGGUUCCUGUCCAACGUUAAUCGGGGCAGGGUGAGUCGACCCCUAAGGCGAGGCCGAAAGGCGUAGUCGAUGGGAAACAGGUUAAUAUUCCUGUACUUGGUGUUACUGCGAAGGGGGGACGGAGAAGGCUAUGUUAGCCGGGCGACGGUUGUCCCGGUUUAAGCAUGUAGGCUGGUUGUCCAGGCAAAUCCGGAUAAUCAAGGCUGAGGUGUGAUGACGAGGCACUACGGUGCUGAAGUAACAAAUGCCCUGCUUCCAGGAAAAGCCUCUAAGCAUCAGGUAACAUCAAAUCGUACCCCAAACCGACACAGGUGGUCAGGUAGAGAAUACCAAGGCGCUUGAGAGAACUCGGGUGAAGGAACUAGGCAAAAUGGUGCCGUAACUUCGGGAGAAGGCACGCUGGUGUGUAGGUGAAGUCCCUGCGGAUGGAGCUGAGACCAGUCGAAGAUACCAGCUGGCUGCAACUGUUUAUUAAAAACACAGCACUGUGCAAACACGAAAGUGGACGUAUACGGUGUGACGCCUGCCCGGUGCCGGAAGGUUAAUUGAUGGGGUUAUCCGUAAGGAGAAGCUCUUGAUCGAAGCCCCGGUAAACGGCGGCCGUAACUAUAACGGUCCUAAGGUAGCGAAAUUCCUUGUCGGGUAAGUUCCGACCUGCACGAAUGGCGUAAUGAUGGCCAGGCUGUCUCCACCCGAGACUCAGUGAAAUUGAACUCGCUGUGAAGAUGCAGUGUACCCGCGGCAAGACGGAAAGACCCCGUGAACCUUUACUAUAGCUUGACACUGAACAUUGAGCCUUGAUGUGUAGGAUAGGUGGGAGGCUUUGAAGCGUGGACGCCAGUCUGCGUGGAGCCAACCUUGAAAUACCACCCUUUAAUGUUUGAUGUUCUAACGUUGGCCCCUUACCGGGGUUGCGGACAGUGUCUGGUGGGUAGUUUGACUGGGGCGGUCUCCUCCCAAAGCGUAACGGAGGAGCACGAAGGUUAGCUAAUCCUGGUCGGACAUCAGGAGGUUAGUGCAAUGGCAUAAGCUAGCUUGACUGCGAGCGUGACGGCGCGAGCAGGUGCGAAAGCAGGUCAUAGUGAUCCGGUGGUUCUGAAUGGAAGGGCCAUCGCUCAACGGAUAAAAGGUACUCCGGGGAUAACAGGCUGAUACCGCCCAAGAGUUCAUAUCGACGGCGGUGUUUGGCACCUCGAUGUCGGCUCAUCACAUCCUGGGGCUGAAGUAGGUCCCAAGGGUAUGGCUGUUCGCCAUUUAAAGUGGUACGCGAGCUGGGUUUAGAACGUCGUGAGACAGUUCGGUCCCUAUCUGCCGUGGGCGCUGGAGAAUUGAGGGGGGCUGCUCCUAGUACGAGAGGACCGGAGUGGACGCAUCACUGGUGUUCGGGUUGUCAUGCCAAUGGCACUGCCCGGUAGCUAAAUGCGGAAGAGAUAAGUGCUGAAAGCAUCUAAGCACGAAACUUGCCCCGAGAUGAGUUCUCCCUGAGACUUUAAGUCUCCUGAAGGAACGUUAAAGACGAUGACGUUGAUAGGCCGGGUGUGUAAGCGCAGCGAUGCGUUGAGCUAACCGGUACUAAUGAACCGUGAGGCUUAACC
This 2891-nucleotide ribosomal RNA is filed under the name Klebsiella pneumoniae. Its description in RNAcentral is "bacterial LSU rRNA". It matches the Rfam family "Bacterial large subunit ribosomal RNA". RNAcentral also lists the same sequence under 1 other name. The record is from RNAcentral. Lineage: Bacteria; Pseudomonadati; Pseudomonadota; Gammaproteobacteria; Enterobacterales; Enterobacteriaceae.